Molecule: ribosomal RNA, 256 nt
Filed under: uncultured bacterium
Lineage: Bacteria
Description: partial 16S ribosomal RNA
Rfam family: Bacterial small subunit ribosomal RNA
Source: RNAcentral
GAUCAUGGCUCAGGACGAACGCUGGCGGCGUGCCUAACACAUGCAAGUCGAGCGGGAGACAGUGAGUAGCUUGCUAUGAGCUGUUUUAGCGGCGGACGGUGAGUAACGCGUGAGCAACCUUUCCCAGACAGGGGAAUAACACACCGAAAGGUGUACUAAUACCGCAUAAGACCACGGGAUCACAUGGUUCUGGGGUAAAAGAUUUAUCGGUUUGGGUGGGCUCGCGUCCGAUUAGGUAGUUGGUGAGGGUAACCGG